Molecule: ribosomal RNA, 254 nt
Filed under: uncultured bacterium
Lineage: Bacteria
Description: partial 16S ribosomal RNA
Rfam family: Bacterial small subunit ribosomal RNA
Source: RNAcentral
CGUAGGUGGCAAGCGUUGUCCGGAAUUAUUGGGCGUAAAGCGCGCGCAGGCGGUCUCUUAAGUCUGAUGUGAAAGCCCCCGGCUUAACCGGGGAGGGUCAUUGGAAACUGGGAGACUUGAGUGCAGAAGAGGAAAGUGGAAUUCCAAGUGUAGCGGUGAAAUGCGUAGAGAUUUGGAGGAACACCAGUGGCGAAGGCGACUUUCUGGUCUGUUACUGACGCUGAGGCGCGAAAGCGUGGGGAGCAAACAGGAUU